GACGAACGCUGGCGGCGUGCUUAACACAUGCAAGUCGAACGGAAAGGCCCUGCUUUUGUGGGGUGCUCGAGUGGCGCACGGGUGAGUAACACGUGAGUAACCUGCCCUUGACUUUGGGAUAACUUCAGGAAACUGGGGCUAAUACCGGAUAGGAGCUCCUGCUGCAUGGUGGGGGUUGGACAGCUUAGGCGGAUGGGGAUGGACUCGCGGCUUAUCAGCUUGUUGGUGGGGUAGUGGCUUACCAAGGCUUUGACGGGUAGCCGGCCUGAGAGGGUGACCGGCGACAUUGGGACUGAGAGACGGCCCAGACGCCUACGGGAGGCAGCAGUGGGGAAUAUUGCACAAUGGGCGGAAGCCUGAUGCAGCAACGCCGCGUGCGGGAUGACGGCCUUCGGGUUGUAAACCGCUUUCGCCUGUGACGAAGCGUGAGUGACGGUAAUGGGUAAAGAAGCACCGGCUAACUACGUG
This 468-nucleotide ribosomal RNA is filed under the name uncultured bacterium. Its description in RNAcentral is "partial 16S ribosomal RNA". It matches the Rfam family "Bacterial small subunit ribosomal RNA", at positions 28 to 507 of the family's 1533-position model. The record is from RNAcentral.